RNAcentral lists this transfer RNA (28 nucleotides) under Luciobarbus lanigarensis. Its description in RNAcentral is "partial tRNA-Thr". The record is from RNAcentral. Lineage: Eukaryota; Metazoa; Chordata; Actinopteri; Cypriniformes; Cyprinidae.
AUCGGAGGCUAAACUCCUCCCUAGCGCC